AACGAACGCUGGCGGCGUGCCUAACACAUGCAAGUCGAGCGAGAAAUCCCGCUUCGGUGGGAGAGUAAAGCGGCGCACGGGUGAGUAACACGUGGGUAAUCUACCCCCGAGUUUGGGAUAACCCCGCGAAAGCGGGGCUAAUACCUGAUAAGACCACAGUUACCUCGGUAGCAGUGGUAAAAGGUGGCCUCUCCAUGGAAGCUAUCGCUUGGGGAAGGGUCCGCGUCCUAUCAGCUUGUUGGUAGGGUAAUGGCCUACCAAGGCUCAGACGGGUAGCUGGUCAGAGAGGACGAUCAGCCACACUGGGACUGAGAUACGGCCCAGACUCCUACGGGAGGCAGCAGUGGGGAAUAUUGCGCAAUGGGGGAAACCCUGACGCAGCGACGCCGCGUGGGUGAUGAAGGCUUUCGGGUUGUAAAGCCCUGUCAGGUGGGAAGAAAUUCCCUAUGGUUAAUACCCAUAGGGAUUGACGGUACCACUGGAGGAAGCACCGGCUAACUCCGUGCCAGCAGCCGCGGUAAUACGGAGGGUGCGAGCGUUGUUCGGAAUUACUGGGCGUAAAGCGGGUGUAGGCGGUCGUGCAAGUCGAAUGUGAAAGCCCUCGGCUCAACCGAGGAAGUGCAUCCGAAACUGCUCGACUUGAGUAUGAGAGAGGAAGGCGGAAUUCCCGGUGUAGCGGUGACAUGCGUAGAUAUCGGGAGGAACACCGGUGGCGAAGGCGGCCUUCUGGCUCAAUACUGACGCUGAGACCCGAAAGCGUGGGGAGCAAACAGGAUUAGAUACCCUGGUAGUCCACGCCGUAAACGUUGGGUACUAGGUGUGGGGGGUUUUAUACCUUCCGUGCCGGAGCUAACGCAUUAAGUACCCCGCCUGGGGAGUACGGCCGCAAGGCUA
RNAcentral lists this ribosomal RNA (894 nucleotides) under uncultured delta proteobacterium. Its description in RNAcentral is "bacterial SSU rRNA". It matches the Rfam family "Bacterial small subunit ribosomal RNA", at positions 28 to 896 of the family's 1533-position model. The record is from RNAcentral. Lineage: Bacteria; Deltaproteobacteria.